GAUCAAUGAAUAUUUAAAUAGCUGCAGUAUAAAUAACUGUACAAAGGUAGCAUAAUCAAUAGCUUUUUAAUUAAAAGGUAGAAUGAACGAUUUAAUGAAAAAAUAACUUUAUUGAUUUUAAAAAUUAAAAUUAGUAUUUAGAUAAAAAUAUUUAAAUUAAAUAAAUAGACAAAAAGACCCUAUAAAAUUUUUAAAAAUUAAUUUUAAGAAAAUUUUUUUAAUUGGGGAAAUUUUAAAAUAUAUAUAAUUUUUAUAAUUUAUAAACAUUAAUUUAUGAAUAAAAUAACUUUUUAUUAUAAAAAUAAAUAUAAAUUACUUUAGGGAUAACAGUAUAAUUUUUUUUUUUAGCACUUAUAAAUAAAAAAGUUUAUAACCUCGAUGUUGAAUUAAGAUUAAAUUUAUAAGGAAAAUCCUAAAUAUUGAGAUCUGUUCGACU
RNAcentral lists this ribosomal RNA (436 nucleotides) under Ascogaster quadridentata. RNAcentral describes it as "partial 16S ribosomal RNA". The record is from RNAcentral. Lineage: Eukaryota; Metazoa; Arthropoda; Insecta; Hymenoptera; Braconidae.